GAUGAACGCUGGCGGCGUGCUUAACACAUGCAAGUCGAACGAAGCACUUUAGUGGAACCUCCGGGGGAAGCUGUUGUGACUGAGUGGCGGACGGGUGAGUAACGCGUGGGUAACCUGCCUUACACAGGGGGAUAACAGUUAGAAAUGACUGCUAAUACCGCAUAACCUGCUAGUACCGCAUGGUACAGGCAGAAAAGAUUUUAUCGGUGUAAGAUGGACCCGCGUCUGAUUAGCUUGUUGGUGGGGUAACGGCCUACCAAGGCAACGAUCAGUAGCCGGCUUGAGAGGGUGACCGGCCACAUUGGGACUGAGACACGGCCCAAACUCCUACGGGAGGCAGCAGUGGGGAAUAUUGCACAAUGGGGGAAACCCUGAUGCAGCAACGCCGCGUUGAGUGAAGAAGUAUUUCGGUAUGUAAAGCUCUAUCAGCAGGAGAAAAUGACGGUACCUGACUAAGAAGCCCCCGGNUAACUACGUG
Molecule: ribosomal RNA, 478 nt
Filed under: uncultured bacterium
Lineage: Bacteria
Description: bacterial SSU rRNA
Rfam family: Bacterial small subunit ribosomal RNA
Source: RNAcentral